RNAcentral lists this transfer RNA (64 nucleotides) under uncultured eukaryote. It matches the Rfam family "tRNA", at positions 6 to 65 of the family's 71-position model. Rfam says of the family: Transfer RNA (tRNA) molecules are approximately 80 nucleotides in length. Their secondary structure includes four short double-helical elements and three loops (D, anti-codon, and T loops). The record is from RNAcentral.
UGUAACUCAGGUUGGUAGAGUGUUGGUCUUUUAAACCUGAAUGCGUGGGUUCAAUCCCCACCAA